AUUGAACGCUGGCGGCAGGCCUAACACAUGCAAGUCGAACGGUAACAGGAAGAUUCUUUCUUCUUUUCUGACGAGUGGCGGACGGGUGGGUUAUGUCUGGGAAACUGCCUGAUGGCGGGGGAUAACUAUUGGAAACGGUAGCUAAUACUGCUUACCGUCGCAAGACCAAAGAGGUGGAUCUUCUGGCCUCUUGUCUUCUGGUGUGCCCAGAUGGGCUUAGGUCGUAUGUGGGGUAGCGGCUCACCUAGGCGAAGCUCCCUAGCGGGUGUGAGAGGAUGAGCGGGCACACUGGAACUGAGACACGGUCCAGACUCCUACGGGAGGCAGAAGUGGGGAAUAGUGAACAAGGGGAGCGAGCCGGAUGCAGACAUGCCGCGUGUAUGAAGAAGGCCUUCGGGUUGUAGAGUAAUUUCAGCGGGGAGGAAGGGAGUAAAGUUAAGAUCGAAGCUUAUUGACGUUACCCGCAGAAGAAGCACCGGCUAACUACGUG
This 490-nucleotide ribosomal RNA is filed under the name uncultured bacterium. Its description in RNAcentral is "partial 16S ribosomal RNA". It matches the Rfam family "Bacterial small subunit ribosomal RNA", at positions 30 to 507 of the family's 1533-position model. The record is from RNAcentral.